UGGCUGUUGUGGUGUGCAAAA
This 21-nucleotide microRNA is filed under the name Gallus gallus (chicken). RNAcentral's name for it is "gga-miR-3064-5p". Lineage: Eukaryota; Metazoa; Chordata; Aves; Galliformes; Phasianidae. The record is from miRBase by way of RNAcentral.